RNAcentral lists this ribosomal RNA (352 nucleotides) under uncultured bacterium. RNAcentral's name for it is "bacterial SSU rRNA". It matches the Rfam family "Bacterial small subunit ribosomal RNA", at positions 335 to 674 of the family's 1533-position model. The record is from RNAcentral.
ACUCCCUACGGGGAGGCAGCAGUGGGGAAUAUUGCACAAUGGGCGCAAGCCCUGAUGCAGCCAUGCCGCGUGUGUGAAGAAGGCCUUCGGGUUGUAAAGCACUUUCAGUCGUGAGGAAGGUAGUGUAGUUAAUAGCUGCAUUAUUUGAGCGUUAGCGACAGAAGAAGCACCGGCUAACUCCGUGCCAGCAGCCGCGGUAAUACGGAGGGUGCGAGCGUUAAUCGGAAUUACUGGGCGUAAAGCGCAUGCAGGUGGUUUGUUAAGUCAGAUGUGAAAGCCCGGGGCUCAACCUCGGAAUUGCAUUUGAAACUGGCAAGACUAGAGUACUGUAGAGGGGGGUAGAAUUUCAGGU